GAUGAACGCUAGCGGCAGGCUUAAUACAUGCAAGUCGUGGGGCAGCGCAGUGUAGCAAUACAUGGGCGGCGACCGGCAAACGGGUGCGGAACACGUACACAACCUUCCUACAAGUGGGGAAUAGCCCAGAGAAAUUUGGAUUAAUACCCCGUAACAUAUAAAGAUGGCAUCAUUUUUAUAUUAUAGCUACGGCGCUUGUUGAUGGGUGUGCGGCUGAUUAGGUAGUUGGCGGGGUAAUGGCCCACCAAGCCUGCGAUCAGUAGCUGAUGUGAGAGCAUGAUCAGCCACACGGGCACUGAGACACGGGCCCGACUCCUACGGGAGGCAGCAGUAAGGAAUAUUGGACAAUGGGCGCAAGCCUGAUCCAGCCAUGCCGCGUGAAGGAUUAAGGUCCUCUGGAUUGUAAACUCUUUUAUAA
Molecule: ribosomal RNA, 418 nt
Filed under: uncultured bacterium
Lineage: Bacteria
Description: bacterial SSU rRNA
Rfam family: Bacterial small subunit ribosomal RNA
Source: RNAcentral